This 468-nucleotide ribosomal RNA is filed under the name uncultured bacterium. RNAcentral's name for it is "partial 16S ribosomal RNA". It matches the Rfam family "Bacterial small subunit ribosomal RNA", at positions 28 to 507 of the family's 1533-position model. The record is from RNAcentral.
GACGAACGCUGGCGGCGUGCUUAACACAUGCGAGUCGAACGGAAAGGCCCUGCUUUUGUGGGGUGCUCGAGUGGCGAACGGGUGAGUAACACGUGAGUAACCUGCCCUUGACUUUGGGAUAACUUCAGGAAACUGGGGCUAAUACCGGAUAGGAGCUCCUGCUGCAUGGUGGGGGUUGGAAAGUUUCGGCGGUUGGGGAUGGACUCGCGGCUUAUCAGCUUGUUGGUGGGGUAGUGGCUUACCAAGGCUUUGACGGGUAGCCGGCCUGAGAGGGUGGCCGGCCACAUUGGGACUGAGAUACGGACCAGAAUCCUACGGGAGGCAGCAGUGGGGAAUAUUGCACAAUGGGCGGAAGCCUGAUGCAGCAACGCCGCGUGCGGGAUGACGGCCUUCGGGUUGUAAACCGCUUUCGCCUGUGACGAAGCGUGAGUGACGGUAAUGGGUAAAGAAGCACCGGCUAACUACGUG